RNAcentral lists this non-coding RNA (630 nucleotides) under Pongo abelii (Sumatran orangutan). Lineage: Eukaryota; Metazoa; Chordata; Mammalia; Primates; Hominidae. The record is from RNAcentral.
AUGGCGGCCAGAUCGGCUGCUCGGACCUCCCAGGCGACUUUGCCCCACUGCGCCUCCGCACUCUUCUCCUUUCCAUUUCUGGACCAAGGGGCUGCCAUAAGGAGUCUGUGACUAGAGAUGGGAGGUGGUGGCCACGGCCUCUCGCUGUAUGCUGUGUGCAAGGUCGAAGUAUCAUCAUCAUAAAACUUAAUAUUGCCCUUAUGUGCCAGGAAGUACUAUCUCAGCAAUGGAGAUGUGGUGCUUGGCCGCAAUCGUGAAUCGGCCCUGGAGGGGACACAGGAAGGGGCUGCCUGUGACUCAUGACCUCCUGCAUGCCCGCCUGCUGACCCAUGACCCUUCAAGUUCCCACCCCUCAGCCACGCCUGUGAGGAGGGUCUUUUUUUGUCGCCUAUGCUGGAGUGCAGUGGUGUGAUCACAGCUCACUGCAGCCUCAACUGCCUGGACUCAAGCAAUUUUCCUGCCUCAACCUCCCAAGAACUAGGACCCCAGAUACCCAUGGACAAGGCACUUGCACGAAUUGUGAGGCUCAUGGAGUUGGGGUCGGACAACACAGAGCCGGCUCCCUCCAGGAGCUGCAUGUCCAGAGAGGGAAACAGGAUGUGGACACCAAGAAUGAAUACAUGCAGACCA